Molecule: transfer RNA, 70 nt
Filed under: Eulichas sp. BMNH 840452
Lineage: Eukaryota; Metazoa; Arthropoda; Insecta; Coleoptera; Eulichadidae
Description: tRNA-Ser
Source: RNAcentral
AGUUAAUGAACUUGAUAUAAGUAUAUAUUUUGAAAAUAUAAUAAAGAAGAAUUUAUCCUUCUAUUAACUU